UUGGUGGGAAGAAGGGAUUCUGGGUUAGAAAGGGUGCAGAAGCCCGAAGUAGAAAGAGACGGGAUUUUGGUCCGGGGUGGAGAGCGAAUGCAUUGAAAAGGGCCAAGGCCCAGGAUAAGGCAGACAUUUAAAGGGAUACAGAUGCCCAAGGUAGAGCAGACACUUGAGGAGACCAGCUCAGCAAACGGAAGACACUUAAAGUGGUUCCCUCGACCCAGGACCCCCUGUUCCCAGGCUAUGGCCCCCAGUGCCCUGUAGACCUGGCGGGCCCCCCGUGCUUGCGACCCCUAUUUGGGGGUCUGGGUGGCUACUGGAGGGCCUUGCAGAGGGGCAGAGAAGGCAGGACCAUGACAUCUAGGGCCUCUGAACUUUCCCCGGGGCGCAGCGUGACGGCUGGCAUCAUCAUUGUUGGAGAUGAGAUCCUUAAGGGACACACUCAGGACACCAACACCUUCUUUCUGUGCCGGACACUGCGCUCCCUAGGGGUCCAGGUUUGCCGAGUCUCAGUUGUACCUGAUGAGGUAGCCACCAUUGCAGCUGAGGUCACCUCUUUCUCCAACCGCUUCACCCAUGUCCUCACAGCAGGGGGCAUCGGCCCCACUCAUGAUGAUGUGACCUUUGAGGCAGUGGCACAGGCCUUUGGAGAUGAGCUGAAGCCACACCCUGAGUUGGAAGCAGCCACCAAAGCCCUAGGAGGGGAAGGCUGGGAGAAGCUGUCAUUGGUGCCCUCCUCUGCCUGCCUGCAUUACGGCACAGA
RNAcentral lists this small RNA (757 nucleotides) under Pongo abelii (Sumatran orangutan). RNAcentral describes it as "processed transcript". The record is from RNAcentral. Lineage: Eukaryota; Metazoa; Chordata; Mammalia; Primates; Hominidae.